AAAAUGACAAGCAAGAGCCAAGGUGGAAAAAAAAUACAAUCAAACCAAGAAUUUGAGAUGCUCCACACGACUAUUGAAGGAACAGUUUGAAAAAAUGAGCGAGGCAAAGAAGGGCAUCGUUCAGGAAUUAGGAUUUGGUGGUCUGAUGCAUAUUCCGCCGAUGAAUGUGCCACACAAACUGUUGAAGGAUUUGGCUAAUUCCUUUAAUUUGGAAAAAAAUAAAUUGGGAAACAAGGCACGGUUCGUUGAAAAUUAAACCCAAAAAAAUAGGAGCUGCCCUUGGUCUCAAUGCAUCAGGAGACCUAUUUCCAGAAAAAUGUGAGUUUUAAAGACCUUUCUGAGGAGAACAAACAAAUUUUUAGAAGGUUCCAGGGGCAAACACUAAAGAAUCUGACCAAUCAGAUGAUGGAUAUUAGUGUUGACAAUGAUCAAGAUCACCUCAUGUUCAAGAGGAUUUUCAUCCUCUAUAUUCAAAUGGCGUUCUUGUUUCCAACUACGAUAAACAAAGUAUCUCCUGUCCACAUCCCUCUAAUUUUUCGAUUGGACAACAUAACGGAAUGGAACUAGGACAGCCAUGUCCUUGAUUUCAUCAUCAAGGGCAUAACUAAUUACUGUUUGAAAAAGAAAAAAUUGAUUGAUAGCUACCUCUAUGCCUUGAUGAUAGUAUAUUUUCAUCUAACAAAACACACAAACAAGAAAGGAGAAGCAAUCCCUGGACUGCUCUCGGUCAUCCAUUGGAAUAGGGAGUUACUGGUUUAGAGGAUCAGAGCAGAAAUUGACGGUCAUAUGGGCAUCGUCAAGAGGGCGGAAGUGAAAAAGAAAAUGAAGAAAAUGAAAGAGAAAGAAAAGAAAGAAAAAAAAGAAAAAGACAAAAAAGAAGAAGGUCAGUUCAUCCGAGAGUGCUUCAUCGCAGAGUGAAUUUGCUUUUUCUUCUGAGUCUGAGUCUGAACAAGACUCAGUAGAACCAACAGAAAUAAGGAAACAACCCACGAGGAUAGUUAAAAGUUAAGUAAUAUUUUUUGGUGUAUUUUGUUAUUUUUAAGGUAUUUUUUGCUAAUAAUUGUUUGCUCACCAGAAUGGUAUCCAGAUAAAGGAAACAGAUUGUGGAGGAUUCCUCUUCAGAAAGUGAAAGUGAAUUCGAUGAUGAAAAUGAAGAAUCGUCACUAAUAAUAAAACAAAAAUAAAAGAAAAAAAUUCAGACUCCACCCAAAAAGACGCAAUCCAAAAAAAGAAAGCACAUUGUUGAGGAUUCGUCUUCUGAACAAGAAAUUGAAUCCUAUGAUGUAACUGAUGUAAGAACUGAAGAAAUAGAAGAAUUCUUCAGAGAAUCAAAAAAGAAAAAAAAACAAUGAAAAGGCUGCACAGGGGAUGAAGGAAGCUGGGCUCCCAUCGACGGAAGCUCAUUAUGAUUCAUCCGAAAUAAUGCCGGAGGUGAACUUAGAAAGCAAAAAUGAUCCUAUGUUUCAAACACAAACAGAUCAAAGCAGCGUAAACAAACCCACAGAUAGCAUGUUGUUUGGCAAGACAGUAUUGAUCCUGACAACAUGACCUACGAGAGUUCUGAUUCAAGUAUGCAUGCCUUUGUCGCAGACAAUAGCAGCAAGCCCUAUGCAAAUUGAACCAUCCCCCCCAAAGUCUCUGAGGAAGAAAAUUAGCGAAGAAACAAUUAAGGGCACUCCACAACCCUAGCAACCUACUGUCGCACACCCACAGUGCCAGCAGCUCCUUCUAAAGUCCAUUGCUGCAUUGAUGAUGAUUGCCAACACAGCAUCCUAUGUACCAAAAUAAUUUCUGGCGGCAUCAUUCAGCCUUGGCUUUACUGAUUUGAGUCAGGAAGAAACGCUGACUCAGGAGGGGCGACCGGGAUCUGAGAAGGGAAAAAGUCCUGAGACACCAAUACUAAUUGAAGAAUUAGAGGAUCUGGUGGAGCAAAUUACAAACACUGGGGUUGCGGCAACAUUGAAUUUUGCAGAGGAUAAAAUUCCCCCGAUCGAAAAGCAGCCUGCCGACCAAUUUUUUGAAAAGUUUGAAACUCCUGCAAGGAGGACAAAAUUGUCGGCCGACCUAAAAGAAAAGUGAUACCUUUGGGCCACACAUGUAAAGACCUACGAGGAUGGAUGUACUAAUGAGUGGGAGCCAAUGUGAAUCCUCAAUGCCCAACAACCAAUGCAAUUGUCAAAAA
Non-coding RNA from Arachis ipaensis, 2182 nucleotides. NCBI's taxonomy places the organism in Eukaryota, Viridiplantae, Streptophyta, Magnoliopsida, Fabales, Fabaceae. The record is from RefSeq and is a predicted model, not a curated record.